UAGGGUUUUGGUUUAAUUAAAACGGUUGAGUUGCAGUCAGCAGAUGUAAAUUAGAGUUUUACAGGCCUU
This 69-nucleotide transfer RNA is filed under the name Pachydactylus otaviensis. RNAcentral's name for it is "tRNA-Ala". The record is from RNAcentral. Lineage: Eukaryota; Metazoa; Chordata; Lepidosauria; Squamata; Gekkonidae.